AUAUGUGAGGGCGAUCUGGCUGCGACAUAUGUCACCCCAUUGAUCACCAGGGUUGAUUUAACUGAUCUGGCUGGCUAGGCCUGAGCCCCCUUCCUCCCUCACUGCUCCAUGUGCGUCCCUCCCGAAGAUGCGUGCUUGGUCAAAGAGGACGGCCUUCUCCAAAUAGAGACAGACCGACUGGUCUUAGGUUGUGGGUAUAAGAGUAGUUACGCUCCCCUCUAGAACCUCCAAACAAGCUCUCAAGGUCCAAAUGUCCCUCCCCUUUUCCUCUUCUCUGGAUACUGAUGAAAUUGGAGUUCAGAGUCGUCUGGUUAUCUUC
This is a non-coding RNA of Erinaceus europaeus (western European hedgehog), 319 nucleotides long. NCBI's taxonomy places the organism in Eukaryota, Metazoa, Chordata, Mammalia, Eulipotyphla, Erinaceidae. The record is from Rfam.